CCCGCCUGUUUACCAAAAACAUCGCCUCUUGUCACCCAUAAGAGGUCCAGCCUGCCCAGUGAUACAAUUAAACGGCCGCGGUACUCUGACCGUGCGAAGGUAGCAUAAUCACUUGUUCUUUAAUUAAGGACUAGCAUGAACGGCAUCACGAGGGCCUUACUGUCUCCUUUCUCCAAUCAGUGAAACUGAUCUCCCCGUGAAGAAGCGGGGAUUAUACUAUAAGACGAGAAGACCCCAUGGAGCUUUAAACCCAACAGACAACCCUUAGCCCCUCACCCCCCAAAACUUUUAGGCCCUGUUUGCUGGUUUUAGGUUGGGGUGACCGCGGAGUAAAACUUAUCCUCCACAAUGUAUGGGACUCCUCCCCUUAUCCACGAGCCACUGCUCUAAGAAUCAACAAAUUGACAACAAAUGAUCCAAUUUUCUGAUCAAUGAACCAAGUUACCCUGGGGAUAACAGCGCAAUCCAUUUUAAGAGCCCUUAUCGACAAAUGGGUUUACGACCUCGAUGUUGGAUCAGGGUACCCAAGUGGUGCAGCCGCUACUAACGGUUUGUUUGUUCAACAAUUAAAACCCUACGUGAUCUGAGUUCAGACCA
This 597-nucleotide ribosomal RNA is filed under the name Fejervarya cancrivora (crab-eating frog). Its description in RNAcentral is "partial 16S ribosomal RNA". It matches the Rfam family "Bacterial large subunit ribosomal RNA", at positions 1795 to 2618 of the family's 2925-position model. The record is from RNAcentral. Lineage: Eukaryota; Metazoa; Chordata; Amphibia; Anura; Dicroglossidae.